CAGGCGGGGUCCAGGCCUCUCUCUGACGAGCUCAUGGCCCCACACUGCCGCUGGAGGACGUCACGCUCUGGUCCGGCUGUCUUCAUAAUGAAGCCGGAGGUUGCCUUCUUCGGAAACUAGACCACACUGGCCCCCUGGACGUGGCGCUGGCCUCUUGCAGCGCAGGCCAGCGGGGAACCGGCUCCGCGUUGCGGACUUCGAUGCAGCAGGCUGUGCGGGAAGUGGGCACGCUCAGCGCACGGCUGUGUUUGCAAAGCACGGCCUCCCGCUCCGGGCCGUGCCCAGGUCCAGUGGGCUUUCCUCACUCGGGAGGGAGCUCUGGGCGCACGACGCUGGGCUUUGCGACAGCAGCUUUGCCAGCUUCCUGGUGAUCUCGGGGCGAAGCACUGAGCACGGACAUAAAACCCAGAGCUGUCAGCCCCUUCCUGCUUUGGCGACGGAGGCGGAGACUGUCAAGGGCGAAGCAACUCCUCAGGGCAAACCGCGGGGCCUGCACGCCCUCCCCACAGGCUGGGCUGUCUGUGCGUUCGUUCCUUCGUGCCAGCCACCUCCAGCAGCGCCGUCUGAGUCUGCCGGUCAGUGUUUUAUGGAUCCAGGCCAACAAAACCAAACCACAACAACAAGGCGGCUGCUCAGGAAGGGUCAGCCCCACUCACGCUUCCCAGUGGCGCGGAAUUUAGGAGGCAGCAGAGCAAACCCUUAUCAGAAAGCUGUGAAACCUUGCAAGACCCAGGGCGUGUAGUUCUGGUGACCCCUCUUGGAGAAAUUUCUAGAAUAUGACCGAGAAUCUCCAGAAUUUCUAGAAUAUGACCGAGACAAAAAGUGGAUCGAAAGCAUUGAAGUCAUUUAAGGGUGUGAAGCUGAGGGCUCCAAAAGGAGUGCAGAUUCUGUGGCGGCCCAUGGAAUGACAGCAGCUCAGGCAGGACAAGAAAAUUUCCUCUGGCAGCAGAGCAGAGCCCGCACGGAGGGGAGGAGCUGUCCAAGUGCUGGAGAGCACCCGGGAGCUGAGGGUUGACAGAGGUGGGCAGUCGGAGGUAGGUGGAUGCCCACUGUGCCUGUGACCACCAGUAAGUGUUGGCUACAUCCCAGUACCGUGCAGGAAGCAAUCACAUCCGGGCCAUCGGUGAUGCUCUGUAAAGGACGGGAAAAGUGUUUAGAAGAAGCAGAGUCCUGGGAUUUAAAAGACACAGCAAGACCAAGGAGGCCUCCAACGAAACUCUGCCGAGGAAUAAAGCAC
Molecule: long non-coding RNA, 1237 nt
Filed under: Heterocephalus glaber (naked mole-rat)
Lineage: Eukaryota; Metazoa; Chordata; Mammalia; Rodentia; Bathyergidae
Description: lncRNA (ENSHGLG00000032039.1)
Source: RNAcentral